UCCUACGGGAGGCAGCAGUGAGGAAUAUUGGACAAUGGUCGAGAGACUGAUCCAGCCAUGCCGCGUGCAGGAAGACGGCCCUAUGGGUUGUAAACUGCUUUUUUACGGGAAGAAUAAUGCCCACGUGUGGGCAGAUGACGGUACCGUAGGAAUAAGGACCGGCUAACUCCGUGCCAGCAGCCGCGGUAAUACGGAGGGUCCAAGCGUUAUCCGGAAUCAUUGGGUUUAAAGGGUCCGCAGGCGGGUCAGUAAGUCAGGGGUGAAAGUUUGCGGCUUAACCGUAAAAUUGCCUUUGAUACUGCUGGUCUUGAGUUGCGGUGAAGUGGCUGGAAUAUGUGGUGUAGCGGUGAAAUGCAUAGAUAUCACAUAGAACACCGAUUGCGAAGGCAGGUCACUAACCGCCGACUGACGCUGAUGGACGAAAGCGUGGGGAGCGAACGGGAUUAGAUACCCCGGUAGUCCACGCCGUAAACGAUGGACACUAGCUGUCGGGCCGAUUUAGGUUCGGUGGCCAAGCGAAAGUGAUAAGUGUCCCACCUGGGGAGUACGUCGGCAACGAUGAAACUCAAAUGAAUUGACGG
Molecule: ribosomal RNA, 581 nt
Filed under: uncultured bacterium
Lineage: Bacteria
Description: bacterial SSU rRNA
Rfam family: Bacterial small subunit ribosomal RNA
Source: RNAcentral